Molecule: ribosomal RNA, 525 nt
Filed under: Triticum aestivum (bread wheat)
Lineage: Eukaryota; Viridiplantae; Streptophyta; Magnoliopsida; Poales; Poaceae
Description: partial small subunit ribosomal RNA
Source: RNAcentral
AUGAUGGAUGUAAUUUUCUGUUGCAUCAAAAAGCAAGUUAACUCGGCGUAUGCAGUAGCAACUACCAACCAUUCAUACUGGAGCAAAGGUCCAAGUAUAGAUUGGACAAGAAGGGUGAUGCCCUUUUUUUCUGCCAACGCUGGAAGUGAGGUACACGUCUUAAAAGGAAAGGAGACCUCAUCAUCCUCAUCGGCGAGGAUCUUGGAGCAGUUGAAGCAGACGCAGCGCAUGAUGGAGAGCACGGUCUUGAUGAAGCCGAUGUGGAACAUGGGCUUUGCGAGCUCGAGGUGGCCGAAGUGGCCCGGGCAUUCGGCCAUCCCGGCCAUGCAUGUCUCGCACUUGGUCCUCCGGUCAAUGGUGCCCAGACGAGGGUCGCUCAGACCACCGGGCUUGGGCUUCCCCUUCUCCAUGGUCUCUGCAUGCUCUAUCACCGCCACCGACAUUUGCCUCUGCAAGCAAGCAGUUCAACACAGAAUCUGUCAAAUUCGAUUCAUCCUAAAAUUUGUGAUACCUACACAGUACUGA